This is a long non-coding RNA of Herpailurus yagouaroundi (jaguarundi), 930 nucleotides long. RefSeq lists it as uncharacterized. The transcript has 2 exons. Lineage: Eukaryota; Metazoa; Chordata; Mammalia; Carnivora; Felidae. The record is from RefSeq and is a predicted model, not a curated record.
GGCGGAAAGCUUCUUUUCUGGAGCCUAGUGGGGACCACGCCCCCGAUGCUGCGGCCGGUGCGCUGCUCCGCCGACGGUCUUUCGGGCAGGGACUGAGGCUGAGGCCUGGCUGCGGGGACGCGGACGCCACUUUGGGGUAAGAGUCGCUGCCGGGCCGCUCGCCCGUCCCAGGGAAGACUUGGGGGCACCUGCCGGCAGAGGCCGGAGACCGUGCCCGCCGCACGCGCCCAGUAACUGUCCAGGAAACGGAGCCCGGUUGGUGGCUGGGCCUACACCUAGUGGACGCCCAGGAGCAUUUGCCGGCUGAACCGGUGGGUCUCGCCACCGAAUGCAGGGGGCGAGCUCAGAGAGGCGGUUGAUGGCCCCCAACCCGGGCGGAGGUGAGACUUUGGGCGUCGCUGUGCUGGGACAUCGAGGGCACAGUACGUGCAAGUGUCCUGGAAUCUGCAUCUCAUCUCACUGCUCCUCUUCCAACCCGUCACGAGUGGCCUCUCGCCAAAAAAUAAAUACAGAAGUAAAAAUGUCUUCCCGAGGCUGUGCUGGAGGCUUCCCCGGCCAAAUAAUGACAGUCCCAUGUUCAAAGACAGGCAAGCCUGAGGCAGGUCUGGUGCGGAGACACGCAAAGAGACAGGGUGUCAGCCCUUUUAUCGGUGCUACUGUGUGAAGGAACUCUGGCUAGUCUGCUGGAUAGUGAGACCAUAUGCAGCAGAAACAAACGAUCCCAGCAAAGAUGAGACCGCUGGAAGAACCACCCAACUGAGCCCAGCUCAACUUGCAAAAAAAAAAAAAAAAAGGUGGUUGUUUUAAGCCAGAAAAACAUUUUAAGGUUAAGAUUCCUUAGAGUAUGUUUCUACAACACCUUAUAAUGCUCUGUAAUAUUCUCACACGUGGGUUUCUCAUGCUGGAUAAUAAAACUCUAGGAGCAUAGGG